AACGAUUGAUGCCCAGCUUGCUGGGCGGAUUAGUGGCGAACGGGUGAGUAAUACGUGAGUAACCUGCCCUUGACUCUGGGAUAAGCCUGGGAAACUGGGUCUAAUACUGGAUACUACCUCUUACCGCAUGGUGGGUGGUGGAAAGGGUUUUACUGGUUUUGGAUGGGCUCACGGCCUAUCAGCUUGUUGGUGGGGUAAUGGCUCACCAAGGCGACGACGGGUAGCCGGCCUGAGAGGGUGACCGGCCACACUGGGACUGAGACACGGCCCAGACUCCUACGGGAGGCAGCAGUGGGGAAUAUUGCACAAUGGGCGGAAGCCUGAUGCAGCGACGCCGCGUGAGGGAUGACGGCCUUCGGGUUGUAAACCUCUUUCAGUAGGGAAGAAGCGAGAGUGACGGUACCUGCAGAAGAAGCGCCGGCUAACUACGUGCCAGCAGCCGCGGUAAUACGUAGGGCGCAAGCGUUGUCCGGAAUUAUUGGGCGUAAAGAGCUCGUAGGCGGUUUGUCGCGUCUGCUGUGAAAGCCCGGGGCUCAACCCCGGGUCUGCAGUGGGUACGGGCAGACUAGAGUGCAGUAGGGGAGACUGGAAUUCCUGGUGUAGCGGUGAAAUGCGCAGAUAUCAGGAGGAACACCGAUGGCGAAGGCAGGUCUCUGGGCUGUUACUGACGCUGAGGAGCGAAAGCAUGGGGAGCGAACAGGAUUAGAUACCCUGGUAGUCCAUGC
This 725-nucleotide ribosomal RNA is filed under the name Kocuria sp. N4_47. Its description in RNAcentral is "bacterial SSU rRNA". It matches the Rfam family "Bacterial small subunit ribosomal RNA", at positions 65 to 800 of the family's 1533-position model. Lineage: Bacteria; Bacillati; Actinomycetota; Actinomycetes; Micrococcales; Micrococcaceae. The record is from RNAcentral.